Molecule: ribosomal RNA, 253 nt
Filed under: uncultured bacterium
Lineage: Bacteria
Description: partial 16S ribosomal RNA
Rfam family: Bacterial small subunit ribosomal RNA
Source: RNAcentral
UACGUAGGGACCAAGCAUUGUCCGGAAUCAUUGGGCGUAAAGAGCGUGUAGGCGGCUUGUUAAGUCUUGCGUGAAAUCUCGGGGCUCAACCCCGAGCGGUCGUGAGAAACUGGCAGGCUAGAGUGCGGGAGAGGAGAGUGGAAUUCCUGGUGUAGCGGUGAAAUGCGCAGAUAUCAGGAAGAACACCCGUGGCGAAGGCGGCUCUCUGGAACGCAACUGACGCUGAGACGCGAAAGCGUGGGGAGCAAACAGG